GAUGAACGCUGGCGGCGUGCCUAAUACAUGCAAGUCGAGCGAACAGACGAGGAGCUUGCUCCUCUGACGUUAGCGGCGGACGGGUGAGUAGCACGUGGAUAACCUACCUAUAAGACUGGGAUAACUUCGGGAAACCGGAGCUAAUACCGGAUAACAUGUUGAACCGCAUGGUUCAACAGUGAAAGACGGUCUUGCUGUCACUUAUAGAGGGAUCCGCGCCGCAUUAGCUAGUUGGUAAGGUAACGGCUUACCAAGGCAACGAUGCGUAGCCGACCUGAGAGGGUGAUCGGCCACCCUGGAACUGAGCCACGGUCCAGACUCCUGCGGGAGGCAGCAGUAGGGAAUCUUCCGCAAUGGGCGAAAGCCUGACGGAGCAACGCCGCGUGAGUGAAGACGGUCUUCGGAUCUUAAAACUCUGUUAUUAGGGAAGAACAAAUGUGUAAGUAACUAUGCACGUCUUGACGGUACCUAAUCAGAAAGCCACGGCUAACUACGUG
RNAcentral lists this ribosomal RNA (497 nucleotides) under uncultured bacterium. RNAcentral describes it as "partial 16S ribosomal RNA". It matches the Rfam family "Bacterial small subunit ribosomal RNA", at positions 28 to 507 of the family's 1533-position model. The record is from RNAcentral.